GAUGAACGCUGGCGGCGUGCCUAAUACAUGCAAGUCGAGCGAACGGACGAGAAGCUUGCUUUUCUGAUGUUAGCGGCGGACGGGUGAGUAACACGUGGAUAACCUACCUAUAAGACUGGGAUAACUUCGGGAAACCGGAGCUAAUACCGGAUAAUAUUUUGAACCGCAUGGUUCAAAAGUGAAAGACGGUCUUGCUGUCACUUAUAGAUUGAUCCGCGCUGCAUUAGCUAGUUGGUAAGGUAACGGCUUACCAAGGCAACGAUGCAUAGCCGACCUGAGAGGGUGAUCGGCCAGACGGGAACUGAGACACGGUCCAGACUCCUACGGGAGGCAGCAGUAGGGAAUCUUCCGCAAUGGGCGAAUGCGUGACGGAGCAACGCCGCGUGAGUGAUGAAGGUCUUCGGAUCGUAGAACUCUGUAAGUAGGGAAGAACAUAUGUGUAAUUAACUGUGCACAUCUUGACGGUACCGAAACAGAAAGCCACGGCUAACUACGUG
RNAcentral lists this ribosomal RNA (497 nucleotides) under uncultured bacterium. RNAcentral describes it as "partial 16S ribosomal RNA". It matches the Rfam family "Bacterial small subunit ribosomal RNA", at positions 28 to 507 of the family's 1533-position model. The record is from RNAcentral.